This 179-nucleotide ribosomal RNA is filed under the name uncultured bacterium. Its description in RNAcentral is "partial 16S ribosomal RNA". It matches the Rfam family "Bacterial small subunit ribosomal RNA", at positions 1321 to 1500 of the family's 1533-position model. The record is from RNAcentral.
UGAAGCUGGAAUUGCUAGUAAUGGCAGGUCAGCAUACUGCCGUGAAUACGUUCCCGGGCCUUGUACACACCGCCCGUCACACCAUGAGAGUUGGAAAUACCCGAAGCCUGUGAGCUAACUUAAAGAGGCAGCAGUCGAAGGUAGAGCCAAUGAUUGGGGUGAAGUCGUAACAAGGUACC